This 467-nucleotide ribosomal RNA is filed under the name uncultured bacterium. Its description in RNAcentral is "bacterial SSU rRNA". It matches the Rfam family "Bacterial small subunit ribosomal RNA", at positions 328 to 792 of the family's 1533-position model. The record is from RNAcentral.
GACCCAGACUCCUACGGGAGGCAGCAGUGAGGAAUAUUGGUCAAUGGGCGCAAGCCUGAACCAGCCAAGUCGCGUGAGGGAAGACGGCCCUACGGGUUGUAAACCUCUUUUGCCGGGGAGCAAGCCUGGGCACGUGUGCCCAGGCGGAGAGUACCCGGAGAAAAAGCAUCGGCUAACUCCGUGCCAGCAGCCGCGGUAAUACGGAGGAUGCGAGCGUUAUCCGGAUUUAUUGGGUUUAAAGGGUGCGCAGGCGGAUUUUUAAGUCAGCGGUCAAAUCGUGGGGCUCAACCCCAUCCAGCCGUUGAAACUGGGGAUCUAGAGUGUGCGAGAGGUAUGCGGAAUGCGUGGUGUAGCGGUGAAAUGCAUAGAUAUCACGCAGAACUCCGAUUGCGAAGGCAGCAUACCGGCGCUCAACUGACGCUCAUGCACGAAAGUGUGGGUAUCGAACAGGAUUAGAUACCCUUGUA